This 197-nucleotide ribosomal RNA is filed under the name uncultured bacterium. RNAcentral's name for it is "partial 16S ribosomal RNA". It matches the Rfam family "Bacterial small subunit ribosomal RNA", at positions 328 to 537 of the family's 1533-position model. The record is from RNAcentral.
ACGCUCGACACCUACGGGGGCAGCAGUGGGGAAUAUUGCACAAUGGGGGAAACCCUGAUGCAGCGACGCCGCGUGAAGGAAGAAGUAUUUCGGUAUGUAAACUUCUAUCAGCAGGGAAGAAGAAAGUGACGGUACCUGACUAAGAAGCCCCGGCUAACUACGUGCCAGCAGCUGACGUAUNGNGGCGGNGNGACGAG